GAUGAACGCUGGCGGCGUGCCUAAUACAUGCAAGUCGAGCGAACGGACGAGAAGCUUGCUUCUCUGAUGUUAGCGGCGGACGGGUGAGUAACACGUGGAUAACCUACCUAUAAGACUGGGAUAACUUCGGGAAACCGUAGCUAAUACCGGAUAAUAUUUUGAACCGCAUGGUUCAAAAGUGAAAGACGGUCUUGCUGUCACUUAUAGAUGGAUCCGCGCUGCAUUAGCUAGUUGGUAAGGUAACGGCUUACCAAGGCAACGCUGCAGAGCCGACCUGAGAGGGUGAUCGGCCACACUGGAACUGAGACACGGUCCAGACUCCUACGGGAGGCACCAGUAGGGAAUCUUCCGCAAUGGGCGAAAGCCUGACGGAGCAACGCCGCGUGAGUGAUGAAGGUCUUCGGAUCGUAAAACUCUGUUAUUAGGGAAGAACAUAUGUGUAAGUAACUGUGCACAUCUUGACGGUACCUAAUCAGAAAGCCACGGCUAACUACGUG
This 497-nucleotide ribosomal RNA is filed under the name uncultured bacterium. RNAcentral's name for it is "partial 16S ribosomal RNA". It matches the Rfam family "Bacterial small subunit ribosomal RNA", at positions 28 to 507 of the family's 1533-position model. The record is from RNAcentral.